UACUGGUUAAGGGAAGCGGAGAACUGAGGACAUCUGCCCAUCCCUGCCCUGCUGUCUGAGCACUCUGGCCUAGACUGGCUGAGUGGAGGGUGCCAACUACAAAUGCCCAUUAUCACUGCUUCAGUCAGUGAACAAAUACUGAGCACCUACUAUGUGCCAACUCACACUUGGAGAAGUGAGAUGCUGGAGGGACAGGGCAAGAAUCCCUCAAGAGUGGGGUUUCCUGAAAGGGGGUAAAAAAGGAAUUAUGGCCCUUUACCACGUGGCGGCGCCAAAGAACAGCUUAUAGAGCCGAAUUCCUCAGUAAAGAUGUUCUCCAGGAAAGACAUUCCCAGCCUGGACUCCUUUUCUCUCUGGGAAACAAACACACAAAUAAACAUCCAUUUUGUGA
Molecule: long non-coding RNA, 391 nt
Organism: Galeopterus variegatus (Sunda flying lemur)
Lineage: Eukaryota; Metazoa; Chordata; Mammalia; Dermoptera; Cynocephalidae
Exons: 3
Source: RefSeq, a predicted model, not a curated record